RNAcentral lists this long non-coding RNA (1925 nucleotides) under Mytilus galloprovincialis (Mediterranean mussel). Lineage: Eukaryota; Metazoa; Mollusca; Bivalvia; Mytilida; Mytilidae. The record is from RNAcentral.
GUUCUUUCCUAGAAUAUGCAGUCGUCAACUAUCAUUUGUUUGCUCCUUAUUUUCUCAUGUGAGUAUUUUAUUUUUAUAAUUUUUAAUAUUAUCAGCAUAUGAUUUACUUCUAAUAUUUUCGUGUGAGAAUCAUGUCUUAUAUAUUAAUAUAGUUAGAACAAACAGAUAGUGGCAUAUAUAGAUAUGAAAUAAAAGUAUAUAAUAAAAGAUAUGAUUUUAUAUAUAAAAAAAAGAAAAUAAAAACCACCCACAAAUAUAAACAUAAGUCGCAGUUAUGAUAAAUAUUACCCUUUACCGUUGUUAUGAAUAAAACAAUGUUGUACAAUUUAUUCAAAAAGUAUAAGUGAUAAGAAAUGAAUAUGAAACAAUUAAUUUACAUCAAAUUUUUUUACAGGAUUAAUUAUCAUCAUUUGCUAUCCGUGGUCCGUCGUCGUUGUAUUUUUUUUUUUAACAAAAACAAAAAUACUGAACUCCAAUGAUUUCUCCUACCUACCAACACGACAGACACGGCUAAAUACACAAGAUCAAAAUGUGAAUGUAUAUAGACGACCGUUCGCCUUUUAACAAUAAGAUGAAACAAUUCAAAUGAAAAAUCGAAAGGAUAUUAACUCAUCAGAGAUAUGAGGAUUCAAAUAAAGUAUUUGCGCCAGACACGCGUUUCGUGUACAAAUGACUCAUCAGUGACGCUCUAAAAAUCUAAAAAAGAGUUUAAAAUGCCAAACAAUAUACAAAGUUUUAUGAGCAUUCGGGUCUAAACAUUACUAAAUGUUUGACCAAAUACAGAUAAGGUAAUCUAUCCCUGAGGUUGAAACGAUUAGAAUCUUAUUGUUCAAAGGCGAACGGUUGUCUUUCGAACCUGAGACAGUGGUGUAAGAGUACGACAAAAAAACAAAACCCAUCAAGAUCUUGCUGCAGGUCUUUGAAUUCUUUGAGUUGUGAGAACAUUAAAUAUUAUUGUUAUGAAGGAAAAAGGGUGAUUAAAAGUAAAAGAAAAAAACAGAAACCAACAAAUAUUAGUAACUCUUGAUUUAAACUCAUUGUAACAUUGUGUAAAACAAUGUGUAAGUUGCAAUCCUUUACAAUACAGAGUAUUAUAUUAAUGUGUACUAAUUUGAGCUGUUUCUUGUUAUAACCUUCUUUUUUCUUGUUUACCCCCCCUCCCCCCCCCACACACACCCCUUCAUCCUCAUUCACUAAGUGUCUGUCCCAAGUCAGAUCCGCCAGUUCAGUGGUUGUCGCUGGUUCGUGUUUGCCAUAUUUGUUUUCCGUUUUUCUGUGUUGUUAUAAUUUACAGCCGAUGGAUUUUUCUCAGUAUUGAAGGACGUACGGUUGCUUAUAAAUAUAUAUAUCUACUUUGUUUGGACAUUAGUGGAUAGUUUUCGAAUUAGCCACCUUACCAGAUCUGGUUAUUUUUGCAUUAUUCAUGGAUUGUAAUGAAAUUUUAUAUAAUUGUUAUUCUUAAAAAUGCACUAUUAUAAAUGCAUAUUUCCUAAAAAUUAUGUAUUCAUAUAUUUGAAGGUAUAACUCUGACCGAGCAGCUGAAGUUGUGUUCUAAAACUUGUUAUGAUUGUAAAGGAUGUUGUGUAAGAAGAGGCUGCAAUUCUUUCAAUUCAUGGAGUUGUGUAAACAAUAAAUGUUAUUGUGAUUGUGGAGGAUAUCGUACAAAGGGCAAUAAGAAGUAACAGAAAACAGAAGUCAGCAACAAUAAGUAACGCUUGAUUUAAACUCAUUGUAAGAUGUAAACCUUACCAAUAUAGACAGAGUAUUAUAUAAAUUGAUAGAAUUUUGAGUUGUUUCUUGGUUCUUUUUUUAUAUUGUAGUACGUUUUUUGAAAGUUGUUACCUUUUUUUAUGAUUGUCAUAUUAACAACCAAGGUAGAUAACUUCAACUUUCCAGUCAUUAACAGGAUUAUAAAUGAUAUAACG